GAUGAACGCUGGCGGCGUGCCUAAUACAUGCAAGUCGAGCGAACAGAUGAGGAGCUUGCUCCUCUGACGUUAGCGGCGGACGGGUGAGUAACACGUGGAUAUCCUACCUAUAAGACUGGGAUAACUUCGGGAAACCGGAGCUAAUACCGGAUAAUAUAUUGAACCGCAUGGUUCAAUAGUGAAAGACGGUUUUGCUGUCACUUAUAGAUGGAUCCGCGCCGCAUUAGCUAGUUGGUAAGGUAACGGCUUACCAAGGCAACGAUGCGUAGCCGACCUGAGGGGGUGAUCGGCCACACUGGAACUGAGACACGGUCCAGACUCCUACGGGAGGCAGCAGUAGGGAAUCUUCCGCAAUGGGCGAAAGCUUGACGGAGCAACGCCGCGUGAGUGAUGAAGGUCUUCGGAUCGUAAAACUCUGUUAUUAGGGAAGAACAAAUGUGUAAGUAACUAUGCACGUCUUGACGGUACCUAAUCAGAAAGCCACGGCUAACUACGUG
Molecule: ribosomal RNA, 497 nt
Filed under: uncultured bacterium
Lineage: Bacteria
Description: partial 16S ribosomal RNA
Rfam family: Bacterial small subunit ribosomal RNA
Source: RNAcentral